This 282-nucleotide unclassified non-coding RNA is filed under the name rhizosphere metagenome. RNAcentral's name for it is "partial ribosomal RNA internal transcribed spacer region". The record is from RNAcentral.
GUAGGUGAACCUGCGGAAGGAUCAUUAACACUUUUUCAUUUUUGGAAUAUCUUCUAUUUUGGAGAUGUUCCAAAGAUAUCCAACCCCACUUGAAUGAAUUUUUUUUCUAUUCUGAUUUCUGGUUCGUAGAUUAUUUUCGGUAAAACGAAAAUGGUUUAUGUCCCCAGAAUUAUCACUUUUUCAACCCCAAUCUACCAAACAUGCGAUAGACUGAUAUAAUAUUUAAUCAUAAAUAACAAAAAAUGGUUAAAACAACUCUUAGCAACGGAUAUCUUGGCUCUC